CAAUCGAACCCGGAGAUAGCUGGUUCUCCCCGAAAUAGCUUUAGGGCUAGCGUCGCAGCGAGAGAGCCGUGAAGGUAGAGCACUGAAUAUGCGAUGGCCGCAUCCCGCGGUACUGAGCAUAAUCAAACUCCGAAUGUCACGGUGUCAUCUGCGGCAGUCAGACGGCGAGUGAUAAGGUCCGUCGUCAAGAGGGAAACAGCCCAGACCAUCAGCUAAGGUCCCAAAGUGCAUGCUAAGUGGAAAAGGAAGUGGAGACGUGCAGACAACUAGGAGGUUGGCUCAGAAGCAGCCAUCCUUCAAAGAGUGCGUAACAGCUCACUAGUCGAAUGACUCUGCGCCGAUAAUUUACCGGGGCUAAGCAUGACACCGAAGCUAUGGACAGGAAUGUGGUAGGGGAGCAUUGCAUGCAGCGGAGAAGCAUGACCGGGAGGGCAUGUGGAGCGCAUGGAAGAGAGAAUGCCGGCGUGAGUAGCGGCACGUGGGUGAGAAUCCCACGCACCGAUGGCCCAAGGUCUCCAGAGGAAGGCUCGUCCUCUCUGGGAUAGUCGGGACCUAAGGCGAGGCCGAAAGGCGUAGCCGAUGGACGACGGGUGGAUAUUCCCGUACCCGAUGUGUGGCGAUGGAGUGACGGAGAAGGCUCAGGCAACCAGCUGCUGGAAUAGCUGGGGCAAGCGAGAUACCUGCGCACCAGGGAAAUCCGGUGCGCAUAAGGGGAAGGCGCGAUGCAUACGGAAAGCUUCGGCAAGUACGGAAAAGCUGAGAGCAGGCUUCCAGGAAAAGCUUCUAGCACAACACACAUCGGCCCGUACCGAAAAUGGACACACAUGGGCAAGGAGAGAAUCCUGAGGUGAGCGAGAGAACUAUAGCUAAGGAACUCUGCAAAAUGACCCCGUAACUUAGGGAGAAGGGGUGCUCCAGAAAUGGAGCCGCAGUAAAACGGCCCAAGCGACUGUUUACCAAAAACACAGCUCUCUGCGAAGGCGCAAGCCGAAGUAUAGGGGGUGACGCCUGCCCGGUGCUGGAAGGUCAAGGGGAGCUGUCAGCGCAAGCGAAGCAGCGAGCCGAAGCCCCAGUAAACGGCGGCCGUAACUAUAACGGUCCUAAGGUAGCGAAAUUCCUUGUCGGGUAAGUUCCGACCCGCACGAAAGGCGUAACGAUUUGGGCGCUGUCUCAGCUGUAGACUCGGUGAAGUCUUAGUACCUGUGAAGAUGCAGGUUGCCCGCGACUAGACGGAAAGACCCCAUGGAGCUUCACUGCAGGUUGACAUUGGGCUUGGAUGCAUGAUGUACAGGAUAGGUGGGAGGCUGUGAGCCGUGCGCGCCAGCGUACGGGGAGCCGCUGUUGGGAUACCACCCUUCAUGCAUCUAGGUCCUAACCGGAGGCAACGGGCCACGGGACAGUGUCAGUCGGGCAGUUUGACUGGGGCGGUCGCCUCCCAAAGAGUAACGGAGGCGCCCAAAGAUACCCUCAGCAUGGAUGGAAACCAUGCAUAGAGUGCAAAGGCAUAAGGGUGUCUGACUGCGAGACAUACAGGUCGAGCAGGGACGAAAGUCGGGCUUAGUGAUCCGGCGGAUCCGAAUGGAAGGGCCGUCGCUCAACGGAUAAAAGCUACCCUGGGGAUAACAGGCUGAUCUCCCCCAA
This 1641-nucleotide ribosomal RNA is filed under the name human gut metagenome. RNAcentral describes it as "bacterial LSU rRNA". It matches the Rfam family "Bacterial large subunit ribosomal RNA", at positions 830 to 2495 of the family's 2925-position model. The record is from RNAcentral.